Long non-coding RNA from Hydra vulgaris (swiftwater hydra), 750 nucleotides. RefSeq lists it as uncharacterized. NCBI's taxonomy places the organism in Eukaryota, Metazoa, Cnidaria, Hydrozoa, Anthoathecata, Hydridae. The record is from RefSeq and is a predicted model, not a curated record.
UCUUUGAUAGGUAUAUUUAUUUAGUUUAGUUACAGCUAAGUUUAAAUGGCUAGUUAAUAUGCUUUUAUAAAUUGCAAUUUUUAUUAAUUUCCAAAUAAAACAUGUGGCAUCCAAUAUCAUAAACUAAGUUUAUACUGGUGUGUUUAUAUUAUUUUAGAAUUUUUUUGUUUUAGACACAUGGCAUUUGCUAUCCCACUAAUUUGCUGCUUUAGAGGCACGGCAUUUAGUGUCACAUUGUAGGUUUAAAUUGGUUGUAGAAUUUAUAUUGUAACUUGCAUAUUUAUUUAGUUGAGUUUAAUCUAAGUUUAUAUUUGAUGUGUUUGUAUUAUUUUAGAAUUUACUGUUUUAGACACGUGGCAUGUGGUAUCCCACUGUAAGUUUGAAUUGACACUUGUAUAAGCUGUCAUACUAAUUUGAUGUUUUAGACACGUGGCUUGUGAUAUCCCACUAGUUAGCUAUUUUAAGCAUGUGACAAGUGGUAUGACACUGUAUUGAUGUAUGUGAAAUGUAUAGAGUCUUUCAGUUAUCAGAUAAUGUCAAGGAGUUGACAGCAUGGUGUCCGAUUUAAAGUGCAAACCUGUGUACGAGUAACAACAGUAUCAAAACAAUUCAAAACCAAAACAAUUCAAAACCAAAACCUAUUUAGACCAACCAAACCAAAACUAGCGACCAAAAACUAAUAUCCUGGCAUUUAUUUUAAACAUCUAUUAUAUAUAUGUGUGUGUUUUAUAUAAAUGUACUAGCUUGAGU